Molecule: long non-coding RNA, 566 nt
Filed under: Rosa chinensis
Lineage: Eukaryota; Viridiplantae; Streptophyta; Magnoliopsida; Rosales; Rosaceae
Description: sRNA RchiOBHm_Chr6g0270701
Source: RNAcentral
CGGUCGUUGCGGCCGUCGUCGUCAUAACCUAGGCUGACGUUAAGAUUGAUGCUGAGGAGAUUACUAGGACACCCACGUCAACAACAUUGAGAUUGCCACCCUUGUCAAGGCACCCUCAACGAAAUGGACGCCUACGCCGACAACGAGACGCCGACGUCGAGGCACCCUUGUCGAAAUGGACACCGACUUCGAGGCACCCUUGUGGACGACGACGUCGAGGCGCCCUCGUCAAAAUAGAGGCCGACAUCGAGGCACCCUCGUCGAAAUGGACGCCGACGUCGAGGCGCCCUAGUCAAAAUGGACGCCGACUUCGAGGCGCCCUCUUCGAAAUAGACUCCAACGUCGAGGCACCCUCGUCGAAACGGACACCGACGUAGAGGCACCCUUGUUAAAGCCGACGUCGAGGCGCCUUAGUCUAAAUGGACGCCAACGUCGAGGCGCCCUCGUCAAAACGGACGCCGACGACGAGACUCUGACGUUGAGGCGCCCUCGUCGAAAUGGACACCAACGUCAAGGCACCCUUGUCGAAGUAGACACCUACGCCGACGUCGAGAGUUAGCGCGCGG